Molecule: small nuclear RNA, 130 nt
Organism: Oryctolagus cuniculus (rabbit)
Lineage: Eukaryota; Metazoa; Chordata; Mammalia; Lagomorpha; Leporidae
Gene: U2
Rfam family: U2 spliceosomal RNA
About the family: U2 is a small nuclear RNA (snRNA) component of the spliceosome (involved in pre-mRNA splicing). Complementary binding between U2 snRNA (in an area lying towards the 5' end but 3' to hairpin I) and the branchpoint sequence (BPS) of the intron results the bulging out of an unpaired adenosine, on the BPS, which initiates a nucleophilic attack at the intronic 5' splice site, thus starting the first of two transesterification reactions that mediate splicing.
Source: Ensembl
AUCACUUCUCAGCCUUUUGGCUAAGAUCUAGUGUAGUAUCUGUUCUUAUCAGUUUAAAAAGGGGGUAUUCUACAAAAAAUGGGAAGAACAAUCCUAGCACAAGAAAAAAUACUCAAAAUCAUUAUCCCUU